Molecule: long non-coding RNA, 8041 nt
Organism: Cornus florida
Lineage: Eukaryota; Viridiplantae; Streptophyta; Magnoliopsida; Cornales; Cornaceae
Exons: 4
Source: RefSeq, a predicted model, not a curated record
GUCAAGUCCACUCAUUUAUGUCAUUUUACUUAUGCGCUCUUUUCUUGAUUAGCUAAAUUGAGGACAAAAACUCCUCGUCUCAUCAACUCUGCUGGCGCUUACUCAACAUAUAUAUAUAUAUAUAUAUUUUACAAAAAAAAAUAUAAAUAUUUUAACAAACGGCUGAAAAUGCUCUAACUUUCUCAAAUCAGUUCUUACCGCUAAAAAAGCUGUGUGAUUCUUGUCUAAUGAAAAAAAAAAAAAAUUAAAAAAAAUACUAAAUUUAUCUUUAAAGACAGGUUUUAACAAAUCAAGAGCACAUAAUUAUUAUGUAUCCAUGUACGUUUUAUAUCCUCUGCGAUUAGGGCUUUUUUCAAUCCAUCUGAGGCAACUGCGAGACUCGAGCAAGCAAAAGAUGGGUCACUCAAAUGUGUGGAACUCGCACCUGCAGUUUCUGGUUCUGGGCUACCGUAUCUCCAUUUGUGGCUUUUGCUUACUUGUGACUUUGCAGAUUUAGGGUUUGAGUUUCAAAUUGAGUUUCUUUCCCUCAUAAGGCUAUUAUAGUGUUAUGUUUGUCAAAUAAGCCGUUAAUGACAUAAAACAUGUAAGAAACAGUUUGAUUGUACUAAAUGGAGGAGUUUUUUUUUUUUUUGUGUGUGUGUGUGUGUGUGUGUGUGUGGAUAUUGAGUGUUUUAGGGUGAAGUAUUUGGUAUGUGUACCCAUAACUAUGAUUUACCAAUCUGUAUAAUUAUCUGUUUGAUGUAUACAACUAUCUAUAUUAUUUGAUUAUAGUUCAACAUGGAUGACAGUCAGUGAGGGAUCCAGAAAUUUGUUUAAACAAUAAUAAGGUAAAAAAAAAAAAAAAAUCAAUUAAAGUAGUAUUUAACUUAAUUAUAGAUUGAUAAUGUUUUAAUAAAACAUUUUAACAAUUGUCUUUAACUAGUUUCAAGUUUUAAAAAUGUUGCAACACCGCUCUCUUCUAUCUCUUGACCAUAAAUUAAUUAGGACUUUUCUUAUUGUUUUAGUAGUUACACUUCUUCCAUGAAGAGAUGGAUUGUCAAUGGAAAGAAUAGGAAUAAAAUUAUUUAAAGAGAGAGCAGUGGACGAUGAAGGGAGGGGUAGUCCAGAUGGAGACUAAAGCUGAUGGAGUUCGUCGCUAGUGUUUAUGUGCAAUAUGGAUGCAAAUGAGAAGAAAGAAAUAAUGGGGCAAAAAAUAUAAGUUACCAGGGCGUUUAUAAAAUUAUCCAAGAUUUUAUAGGUAAAGAUAGAGUUUUCUAAAAAUCCAGUGGGUGCAAGUGCCCCCACUAAGCCACUCUUAGGUCCGUCCCUCAUGUUAGUUAGCAAUUUAACAUACUUUCAAUAGAUUAUGAAUAUAUCCAACUUGUUUAAUUCUCAACAAUUUUUCUUGGAUACAUAUAAAAUAAUCUAGCUAGAAAGUUGAAAAAGGUUUUGUAAAUCGGGUAUUUUAUUUUGUCCAAGAGAGUUGAUCCACAAGUAUUGAAUUAGAAUGUUAAUGUUGUGGUGGGUGAGAUAGUUUUGCUUGCUUCUUAUCUUAAGAAAGGUCACCUGGAAGCAUACUGCAGUAUUUGUUAAGUGUCUUUCAUUUUGAAUUGCCAUAAUCUGCUUUUGAUGUUUAGCAUUUAUUUUGCCUUGUUCUUGUCUUUACACAGUGGUCUCAAGUUUGAAAAAAGGAGGGUUGUAUUAGGUAGUUGACACUAGCGUAAAAUUGUUUAGUUCAUUGUAUAAUUAGGAGGGAAAAGACAGGGUGGGAUACAAUAUGCGAGGCAAGGAGAUAGAUUUUGUGAAAGUGUUGUGGAGCCAUCACAAAGAUGAUGAAGCUUCUUGGGAGAUCUAAUCCAAAAUGAGAGUGAUAUAUCUGCAUUUGUUUGAAUUAGGUACACAAAUAAAUAUGGGGUAUCCCGGGAGUAUCGACAAUGUGGUACCCCGGGUCAAUGGUUAUCAAGGGAGAUAGCGAGUAUUCAUUGGCCAAGGGUACUACAUAGUUGGUACCCCGGGUAUCCAAUAUUUUUCCUAGGUAUGCAAAUUUUGAGGACGGAAUUUAUUUUUUAAAAAAUGUAGGAUGUUAACAACAACAACAACAAUAAUAAUAAUUAGGGUAUAUAUUAAAUAUAAUAAUAUAAAGUGACCGACUCUAUCCAUAUUAGAUAAAGGCAAGAUGAUGAUGAAUAAUAAAGGUAGAUGUUGGGAUAGCCUACUAUUCCGAACAAGAAAUAUAAAAAAAGUUUAAAAAUAAUAUAGCCUUGUAAUUAAAUGAAGGAAAAAACCUUUACUACAUAAGUUGGAGAAAAUAUAAAUAAGGUAUACUCAUAUUCUCUGUAAUUUUGGGGAAAGAAGAAGAUCCAAAGAGGGAGGCUCGUCAAUCUAUCAAUACACCAAAGAAUCAAUUUUUCAAGACCUGCCCCGCAUUGUCCAAAGGGAUGGCAACGGGACGGUUUUGGGCGGGUGUACCCUCCCCCGUCCCCACCCUGUUUAAAGUUUCUGUCCUCGUCCAAAAUCGCCUAAACGGGGUACUCUCCUUCCUCAUCCCCGCCCCGUUUACAUUUUUCACCCCGCGGGCACCGUCCCACCCCAUUUACUCCUAAAAUUUCUCUCUAUUUUUUUUCCUUAAAUACAAUUAUAUAAGUAUUAAAAAAAUUCAUAAAAAGGGUUAUCAAUAGUUUUAUAUAAAAUUCAAAAUUACGAACAUUCCAUAAUGGCAAAAGUGCCAAAUUGAUUGCAUUACUAAAUAAUGAUUGUUGUUAAUUCGUUAGAACACUACUUUCUUGAUUCCCUAGUGUGUUGAUUAAUUUUUAUAGAUUGACGGGCCUACUUGUUUCUUCUUCUUUCUCCAAAAUUGGAGAGUACGAAAAUAACCCUAGAUGUAUUUUCUCCAGUUUAGAUAGUAAAGCUUUUAUUUAUUUGGUUAUAAGAGAUAUAUUAUUUUUAAUUCCUUUUAUUCUUAUUUAGAAUAGUAGGUUAUCUAAUAUCUGCCCUUAUUGUUAUUAUUAUUAUUAUUCACUUAUUAUAUUACUACUUAAAAAAUUCUUCUUUACCUUUUUAGAUUCAGGGUAUCCUAGGUGACAUGAGACAUCACAAGCACUCCCACUUGGGUCCUAGCGUCCUUGUUGGCCUGACCCUCGUUGGCUUGUGAGGGCUCUCCCCGUAUUUCAGUUGGGAUUGGCUUUGAUACCAUACUAAUAUAAAAACUAUUUAAAUUGUGUAUAUGUGUGUGGGGUCCAUAUAUUUAAUAAUAUACAUAUAAUAGCAAGCAAUUAAAAUUAUAUUUGUCACAUGUACAUCUACUAACCCCUUACUCAUAUUUAUACGCAAUUUCAACCAUCAUUUGUUUGACACCUAUACCAUUUUCACUGCCACACGUCAUAUAUAUUUGCAUUCAUAAAUACAACACAUACCUUACUAAGAUGAGAUCAUUAUGCAUUAUAUAUAUGGAGCCCACAUAUAUAUAACAAAAUUUAAGCCAUUCUUAUAUUAGUAUAUCUAUAACAAUAAUAUAUUAGUGGUGGUAGUAUCGUAAAUAUAAGAAAUACUAUGUAUAUAGUUCUUAUUGUAUCCGAGACGGGGCUAAAUAACAUAAAAGGAAAACUAGAGUCGAGUUUUAAAGCUUUGGGUAAAUUGCACUCACACCCCCUGAGGUUUUGGUUAACGCCACUCAGCGGAUGAUCAACGCACUUGUUUACAUUGACACUCCCUGAGGUUUCAAAAGUUUACACACACACCCCCUUUAGACCUCUGACACUCAAGGAAAUGACCAUUUAACACUUUAAAAAGUGUUAAUUACUAAUAUAACCCUAUAAACUAAAUUUUGAAGGACGAAAAUAACCUUCAUUUUUCAUUCUCUCUCUAUCCUCACCAGUCACCACCAACAUGUUACACAAUAUACAUUUAUGGCCGCUCUAUCCUCCCAUUACCCUAUCCGAAGCCUCUAUCCUCCCAUACCCCCUCUGUCACUAUACACCACAUGUAACACCACCCACCAUUGCUGCCCCCUUCAUGAGAAACCCACCAUUACCAUCUCAACAUUCAUAAACAAACACACCGAAUCUUCAAUCAAAAGCGACCACCACCGCUGCCGCCAUCAAUCAGAAGCGACCACCACCACUGCUGUCGAAUAGAAGCGACCCAAAGGCUUAAAGAAGAAGAGAAUCGUGAAUCAGAGGCAAAAGCCCUCUGCGAAAAGCGACGAGACCGUACAAAUUGUGCUCAACGACGGCAUGAUCGGCAAUUGUAGUGGCGAACAAAGUUCUGCUCGGCGAUGGCAACAGUUUCGACAUCGGAAAUCGCAUCGUCGUUCUUCUCUUCGCUGGUGCGGUUAAUCAUCUUCGCCGGUAAUUUCGCCGUGUGUAGGAUUAAGAUCGGGCUCGGUGGUCCAACAACUUGCUCUGGCCAUCAUCAGCGACAUUGUGGUCUUGGGGUUUGAAGCAACUUGGCCAGGGAUGUCGACGGCAAAGGCAGAGGAGGUCACUGGGUUGGAUCUGUUGUGCGGUGUUAUCGUUCGAGAAUGAUUUGAAGUGGUGAAGUUUCCAGUGUUGGUGAUGGCGCUGCUGCUAUAGAGCGAAAAUGGGUGUGUGGGUGUGGCGGUGGUUGUGGUGGUGUGUAUGUGGGUGUGACCCAUUGUCUUCUUUGGAAAGAACUCCUCAGAAUCUAUUGCUGCCAAUGACCUUUGACCCAGAGGCGUGUUUGAUGUUGCGGUGGUUGUGGUGGUGGGGUGUGGGUGUGGCGGUGGUGGUUGAGAAUGGAUUACAAAAUAAUGAUUAGGGUUAUUUUUGUCAAUUAACAGGUUCAGAGGUAAAUAUGACAUUUUGAAACCUCAUGGGGGGUGUCAAUGUAAACAAGUGCGUUGAUCGUAUGCUGAGUAGCGUUGAUCGAAAGCUCAGGGGUUGGGAGUGCAAUUUACCCUAAAGCUUUUUACCAUACCCGUCCCUCUAACACUUGGGGGUAGCAAUUUGCCCCGCCCCCAAUGGGACGAGGAUGGUAUGCUUCUAAACGGCAUAUGGUAUUACAUAUUGGAAACCCGACUUAGGUUCGGAGAUGGGUUUUAUGCUAUCCUCAUCCCGAAUACAAUAGAAAGUUAGAAACUAUAUAUAUAGCAUUUCUUAUAUUAAAAUACUGCCACUAUUAUAUUUAUGUCACAUAUCAAACUGCAGGCCUGCCCCUUGUUUUAGUAGGUGAUUCACUACCGAAGCGAAGAAAAGGUUGGAUCAAGAAAAGGGGGUACUACGAGCCCUCUACCCCACACAUCUAACCAGUUCGUGUGGUUCACCGGGACUUCCUGAAUAGGCCUUAUUUGGUAGGUAACAUCGACGAAAGCUAUGAACUUAGAAAUGGAACCCCUCCCCUCCGCAACACAUAAAAAAAAACAAAAAUCACCGUUCCUCAUUCCUGUGCCCUUUCUUCUCCAAACCUCUUGAAUGAUUCCACCUAUAGUUGUUGAGUCCCAUAAACCUCUCUCUCACAGUCACAUCUCGUUCAUCAACGAUGAAGAAGAAGAAAAAGACGACAAGGAGGCACAUCCACCUUCGGAGGAGUCGAUAGCAUGAUCUAUAUCAUUCAUCUUUUUUAUUUACGAUCUUACUUGAUGUUGUGUUUAGUGGUUUGUUUGGAGUUUGAUGUGAAAAUGGGUUUGACAAGGAGAUGGUGGAAAUUGGGGCGGGGAUGGGAUGGGGUUUUUCUUCACAGGGCAGACAAACCCAUCCCGUCAGUAUCCCUACUAACUUACUAACCCUAUAAAAGUGUGUCCCAUACCCGCUAUAUUAGCCUUAUUAGGGGGUGGGUGAAAUUGCCACUCCUAUUCUCUUUGCUUAGUUCCUUUUUCUUUUUGCUAGUAUGUUUUUUUUUUUUGUUAGUAUGAUAGAUGGGUAUAUGCUGCUUGCUUUUUUAAACAUGUUUGCUCCCCCUCGCUAACCAGUUUUUUAACCUUCUGUAAAAAGAGCGAAAAUACUUGAAAUAAUGUCAAAGAAAUGUUUUUUUCUGGGUACUGAUAUAUGCAGUAAACCUUGCUUAUUGGUAUUGUGGAGAAAUUAAAAAAAAAAAUUGGCAUUUUAUGUAUAAAAUAACAUAUUAUAUUAUUUUUUUAUUGCCAGUGGUCCAUCUCCGUAUCUUCUUUUUUUUCUUUUUCUUUUUUUUUUCUUUUUUUUUUUUUUUUUUUAAGUUUUUGCCAUAUCACCAUAUUGUUAUAUGGCGUACGUGUACUCCUUGUAUGUGCUUCCUUGAUAACCCCCAUAGGAGUAGCAAAAAUUAUUGGCUGUAGGCAUUUUUUAAAAAAUAAUUAAUAUAUCAUUCUAUGUUUUUGGUCUUAUUACUCUGCACUUAAUUGUACUGAGUUGUUUCCUUUUUGGAAUUUUAGAUAUGUUUCAGUGCUGUUUAUCAGUUGUGAAUGUAUGGCAUCUUGGAGAUCUUUGUUGGAAUAUUUUUGCACAGAAGUAGGAGAAACGUGGUCGGGUUAAUCAUAAUGCUAAUUCUCUCCAAUGAUCAUGUGAAUACUUGGUUUUUUACCCUAUGAUUGCUUGCUGGGGAAACGGAGUUUUGUAUAUGCUGACCAAAAAACAUGGUCCAAUCUUAAGUGCAUUAGCAUGUGAAUAAUUUAUCAAUGCACAUGUUGAAUGUUCAAUUGAACAGGGUAUCUAUCUUCGGGUUUGAAGAAUGAGAACUGCGAGAUUCAUAUUCAGUUUCAUGUCCUUUUCCAUAACUUUGGAACCAAACUCAGGAUUUCAGGUUUCUUUGAAAGCCUGAUCAAUAUUUGUGAAUUCAAAUAGGGAAUCUCAAAUUGUAAAGAAUUAUGUCAAGUGUGUGGUUUGAUGAUGAGAUUCUGGGGAAUAAUGAUUCCCUAGGACACCUAACUUCCUAUAUUACACACGAGUUUCUGAUGAAAAUUUUGUAUUAUAAAGGUGUACCUUGAUUAUUUUAAAUUUUUAUAGAGAAAUGACUAAAUUAAAAGUGGCAUUACAUUCCGUUAGUAACAAUCUUGACUUCCAAGGAUCUGCACUAAAAAUUUGUACUUCGUAGAGUCUAGAACUCUCAAGGACUGAAAUUAUUACCAAAAAUAAAACCCUUAAGAGUUUAGUUUUUAUUUUUAUUUUUAUGAUAAGUAAAACGCCCUUAGUAGUUUUUAAAUAUCAAAUGUCAAUUAAAGAGUCCUUAAUGGUGUCAUUUUGAAUUUUUUGGAGGAACAUGAUAGGUUCAUUCCGAAGAUUCUAAGAAAAUUUAAGUGUUCAAGUGGAUGCAGUAGAAUGAUUUCAUUUCAAUAUGAUGCCGAAUGAAAGUACAUUGACUUACUACAUUCUGCAAUUUAUGAUUUUUAUUGCUUUCUUUCUGGAGCUUUGUUCCUCUCUUCCUAAUUUUGGCUGCUCAAGCCUUUUUUCUUGUUCAUUUGAAUUCCUUGAAUCGAAUGAAGUGUUAUAAUUGCAGAUUCCUUCUAGGGAGGUUUAGGAAAAUUUUUGAGAAAAACAUAUUGUGCCUUUUGUUAUUGCUUUGAUAAUUUUUGUCAAAUUUUAAAUUGGUUUCAUGAAAAUAGAUCAACAACUAAUGCUGUUAUUUUGCAAGUCGUGUGUGUGGGAAUCCUCACGGGUUGAUUGUGAAGUAUGGUAUUAUGUGCUGUAGACAGUGCUUCCGCAGCAAUACAAAGGAAAUUGGCUUCAUUAAGUCGUGUGUGUGCGGGAAUCCUCACAGGUUGAUCCGGAAGUAAUGGUAUUAUGUGUUGUAGACAGUGUCACAGUGCUUCCGCAGCAAUACAAAGGAAAUUGGCUUCAUUAAGUAUCACUAAAGGAUUAUGCGGGUUUUCCAAGAAGAGAUUUUGAGGAUUUGAAUUUUGUCAAGUAUAACGCGGGUUUGGUUUGUACCAUUAAAGUGACGUUACGGACUCUUUUGUUAUUUAUCUUUGUACACAACUAAUAUGACUGGAUGACAGAUUCUUGUUCUACUUAGCACUGAACUUGAAUUACAGAUGCCACUGGAAUUUUGUACACAAAUAAUAUGACUGGAUGAAAGAUUCUUGUUGUACUUAGCACUGAACUUGACUUAUAGUUGCCACUGGAAUUUGGUGUCA